CUUUACUGUAACUUGAAAUUGAAAUUGGACUUUACUUGCGCAGUAUAGGUGGGAGGCGUUGAGAAUAUUCUUGCGGGAAUAUUGGAGCCAUCAGUGAGAUACCACUCUGGUAAUGUUAGAUUUCUAACUUUGAAUCAUUAUCUGGUCAAAGAACAGUUUCAGGCGGGCAGUUUGACUGGGGCGGUCGCCUCCCAAAUGGUAACGGAGGCGUACAAAGGUUUCCUCUGAACGGGUAGAAAUCGUAUCUAGAGUGUAAAGGCAUAAGGAAGCUUGACUGUGAGACCUACAAGUCGAGCAGGGACGAAAGUCGGUCUUAGUGAUCUGACGGUACUGAGUGGAAAGGCCGUCACUCAACGGAUAAAAGUUA
This 367-nucleotide ribosomal RNA is filed under the name uncultured organism. Its description in RNAcentral is "bacterial LSU rRNA". It matches the Rfam family "Bacterial large subunit ribosomal RNA", at positions 2099 to 2465 of the family's 2925-position model. The record is from RNAcentral.